RNAcentral lists this ribosomal RNA (492 nucleotides) under uncultured bacterium. Its description in RNAcentral is "partial 16S ribosomal RNA". It matches the Rfam family "Bacterial small subunit ribosomal RNA", at positions 30 to 507 of the family's 1533-position model. The record is from RNAcentral.
AUUGAACGCUGGCGGCAUGCUUUACACAUGCAAGUCGAACGGUAACAGGCCUUCGGGUGCUGACGAGUGGCGCACGGGUGAGUAAUGCAUCGGAACGUGCCCAGAGGUGGGGGAUAACGCAGCGAAAGCUGUGCUAAUACCGCAUGUGAUCUGAGGAUGAAAGCGGGGGACCAGGCAGCAAUGUUUGGCCUCGCGCCUUUGGAGCGGCCGAUGUCAGAUUAGGUAGUUGGUGGGGUAAAGGCCUACCAAGCCGACGAUCUGUAGCUGGUCUGAGAGGACGACCAGCCACACUGGGACUGAGACACGGCCCAGACUCCUACGGGGGGCAGCAGUGGGGAAUUUUGGACAAUGGGCGCAAGCCUGAUCCAGCAAUGCCGCGUGCGGGAAGAAGGCCUUCGGGUUGUAAAACGCUUUUGUACGGAACGAAAAGGCUCUGGCUAAUACCUGGGGCUGAUGACGGUACCGUAAGAAUAAGCACCGGCUAACUACGUG